GAUGAACGCUGGCGGCGUGCCUAGUACAUGCAAGUCGAGCGAACAGACGAGGAGCUUGCUCCUCUGACGUUAGCGGCGGACGGGUGAGUAACACGUGGAUAACCUACCUAUAAGACUGGGAUAACUUCGGGAAACCGGAGCUAAUACCGGAUAAUAUAUUGAACCGCAUGGUUCAAUAGUGAAAGACGGUUUUGCUGUCACUUAUAGAUGGAUCCGCGCCGCAUUAGCUAGUUGGUAAGGUAACGGCUUACCAAGGCAACGAUGCGUAGCCGACCUGAGAGGUGGAAGAGGCAGAGUGGGAGUGGGAGACGGAGAAGACUCGUACGGGAGGAAGCAGUGGGGAAGAUUGGAGAAUGGGUGAAAGCCGGAUUAAGCAAUGAAGCUUGUAGGAAGAAGGGAUUAGGAUUGUAAAAUGAUUGUGUACGGAAAGAAAAGAAGUCAGUUAAUAAAGGAGGGUCAGGACGGGACCGAAAGAAUGAGCAAAGGAUAAAUAAGUG
This 497-nucleotide ribosomal RNA is filed under the name uncultured bacterium. Its description in RNAcentral is "partial 16S ribosomal RNA". It matches the Rfam family "Bacterial small subunit ribosomal RNA", at positions 28 to 507 of the family's 1533-position model. The record is from RNAcentral.